Molecule: ribosomal RNA, 253 nt
Filed under: uncultured bacterium
Lineage: Bacteria
Description: partial 16S ribosomal RNA
Rfam family: Bacterial small subunit ribosomal RNA
Source: RNAcentral
UACGAGAGGCCCAAACGUUAUUCGGAAUUACUGGGCUUAAAGAGUUCGUAGGCGGCGCAGAAAGUAGGGUGUGAAAGCCCUCGGCUUAACCGAGGAAUUGCGCUCUAAACUACUGUGCUUGAGGAACCUAGAGGUGAGCAGAACAGAUGGUGGAGCGGUGAAAUGCGUUGAUAUCAUCUGGAAUACCGGAGGCGAAGGCGGCUCACUGGGGGUUUUCUGACGCUGAGGAACGAAAGCGUGGGGAGCAAACAGG